Long non-coding RNA from Oreochromis aureus, 1724 nucleotides. RefSeq lists it as uncharacterized. The transcript is spliced from 5 exons. The record is from RefSeq and is a predicted model, not a curated record. Lineage: Eukaryota; Metazoa; Chordata; Actinopteri; Cichliformes; Cichlidae.
GCCUGGAAUGGCCUAUGUCGCACUCAGCCGCACAACCUCACUUAAAGGACUGUACAUCACAGACUUUGAUGAAAGGAAAAUCUAUGCUGAUCCUGCCAUCACAGAUGCACUCAAAAAUAUGAGACAUGCAUCAUUUGAGAAUGCAAGACCACUGUUGCAAUUCUUAAAAUCAGUUGUUCCCACAGUCCCCCGUUGACAAUUAUCCAUCACAAUGCACAAGGUCUCCCAACUCACAUGGAGGACAUGAGAUGCCACCAUGAACUCAGCCUUGCUGAUGUUUUAUGCAUAACAGAAACUCACUUGUCUGGAUCAUCAGUUUCUCCCCGCUUCCAGCUGGAACAGUACAACAUGGCCACACGCAACAGACACGUCUCUUACACAAACCAUACAGACAUGGCAAAGGUAAAUGGCGGUGGAGUUGCAAUGUACUACAAAACAGUUCUUAUAGCAGAGUCUCGAAAAUACCUGCAAAAUGUGACUGACCUUGAAUUUGUUGUUAUCAAGGUUGAAUCGCCAGUCACAGCUUUGAUAGCAACUGUAUACAGGCCACCAAAUUACUGCCACGUGAGGUUUUUACCACAAAUGCAAUGUCUUUUGGACUCAUUGGAAAUGAUGAAUUGCCAACCAAUUAUUGUUUGUGGAGAUUUCAAUGAGGACCUUAUGAGCAGAGGAAAAAAACCCAUCCAAGAACUGUUUCAGUCAAGAGGAUAUGCACAACUUAUUACUGCUGCAACUACCGAAAAACACACAUUGAUUGAUCACCUUUACAUAUCACAGCCAUACGCCUGCCUCCAAUCAGGUGUUCUGAAUACAUAUCACAGUUAUCACAACCCCAUUUAUUGUGUAAUUCACUAACACAAAAUGACUGCAAGGUUGUGAGGGAUAUGGACUUGCCAAGUGAUCUUAGUGUCUUUGCAACUGAGCACACUCUACCACCAACAAGGACAGCUCACCAGUGGGAGCUGAUAGAUAAGACUGCUCUCAUCCAUUGAAGAGCUGACCAGAAACGUGAACAGAGAGACUGCAAUUGCACCUGAUGGGAUCCCUGCCAUAACAGAUGUGUUCUGUCCAGUGAAGGCAGUGGAGAAGCCCUACACUGAUCUUGAAACUGUGCCACGCUAGUAGAGACCGGCUACAAGGAUGGGCAGCUGUUUUCGCAAAGUCAGCCAACCACUUGCUUCCAAAUGACCCUUAUCCAGAAGUAUCCGUGAGUGCCUCAUCAACAGAAACUAAAGUGGAGACCUACCUCUCAGAGAAAAACGCACACAUAAGAAAAGCCGACCCACUUCAGUACUGGAAUGAACAUCCUAAUCGGUUUCCCUCUAUGGCUGCUGUUGCGAUCCCAGUGUGCCCCCUGUAGCUCUGUGGACAGUUUUGGAUUUGUUUACAUCUCACCCAACCGCUCAUGGCAGAUGGCUGCACCCCUCUAAGCCUGGUUCUGCCGGAGGUUUCUUCCUGUUAAAAGGGAGUUUGUCUGAACACACUCUACCACCAACAAGGACAGCUCACCAGUGGGAACUGAUAGAUAAGACUGCUGAUGUGCUCUCAUCCAUUGAAGAGCUGACCAGAAACGUGAACAGAAAGACUGCACCUGAUGGGAUCCCUGCCAUAACGGAUGUGUUCUGUCCAGUGAAGGCAGUGGAGAAGCCCUACACUGAUCUUGAAACUGUGCCACGCUAGUAGAGACCGGCUACAAGGAUGGGCAGCUGUUUUCGCAAAGUCAG